Oryctolagus cuniculus (rabbit) is the source of this 2610-nucleotide non-coding RNA. Lineage: Eukaryota; Metazoa; Chordata; Mammalia; Lagomorpha; Leporidae. The record is from RefSeq and is a predicted model, not a curated record.
ACUAACCCCAUUUUCAUAAUAAUCUGCAAGUUCCUGACUGUGGAUUGUGUUUCAAGAGUAAUUGCAAGGGUGUUUCAAAUGACCACCCCAGUCACGAUGGAGAAGGGCACAGCCCAGUCUGCAAGAAACCUUGGUGCUCUCAAAGUUUGCAAAAUGUGAUCCUCAGAAGUGUCACCCAAGAACACAGGCAAGUGGAACGGAGCUGUCCAUCGGCGUGCAUCAGUGCAGUGAAGACCCAGAUGGGAAGAGUCUGCGACUGCUGCUGACCCAGUGCUUUGCAAGGACUUCUCUGUGGUCUCAGAAUCAUGGUUGGAUUGGCACUUCUCACUGCCAUGAACUUCCCUCAAGCCCAUGUAGACUGACCUUGGAAGCGUCCAUCUGGGAACCCCAGAAACAUCAUGCACUCCAAACAACUGUCCAAAAACCACACAGUGGAUAACUGUUUGGAAAAGUGAGCUCAUAUGAAGAGUAGACAACGUUUAUUUGAAGAGUUUGAAGGUUUGUUUCACGGACAAAAUCAGCCACAUAAAAGAAGACAUUCUCCUUGUUGUGCAUCUGUCUGCAAAGCCACUCUAUGGCCAUGAGGCCAUAAUGGAAGUGAUCUAGAGGAGAAAGAGAAGCUGAAACACACAGCUGGAGUUCUUGGUGACAACACUGAGCCCUAGAGUAACUGACCUUCUAAUGUUCCAGUCCUGGGCUACUCAUUGUAUGGAAAUUGAGGUGGUUCUCCAACUUCUCAUGGCCGGAAGCCACUUGACUCAGGACCUCAGAAACAGCACAGCCAUUCCUGUAUUAGACACAAGCACAGUCUGAAGACAGUGUGAUGGCAACAGCAUGUGAUGCUAUAUAGUGAUAUGAUUGUGGGGAGCAACUCGGACUAGACUGUUACUGGAAUUAAGACUUAUUCUAUGCAUCUGCUCUCCCACAAUAUGGCACUGAGAAGGGAGAAACAGCUUCUACACAGCUGCCUCCAGUUCGACCAGUAACCUGCAGGAGCUGAUCCUGAUUGGAGGAGAGCAGCGUACCCGGCGUGUGGGUAGCAGAGUUGGGAUUGGUGGAAGAGGACUAUAAAGGAGGAGAGAGACAACAUGCACCAGGAACAUCUAUCUGAAGGAACACCUGAGCAGCUCCCGAGAGAGCCGGCCAGCGGUGUGCUGCUCCCCCGCAGAAGUGGGGAAAGUGGCAGGGGGAACCGCCCUUCCACGGAGGUGGAAGGGACGGUAGCCAACCUGGGAAGAACCAGCAGCAAACCCGGGGAGGGCCGAGCAGACAAAAGAACAGCGCAGGGUCCUCUGUCGUCCGUUCCUCCGCGAAGAGGGGGAGCGACAUAUGAUCAUCUCUUAUCAAUUCUAUGUAAAGUGACAGCAUGUCAGGCAACAGCUUGACAGCAACUAUGGUGAGAAUAUUUCAACAUGGACAUUGACAAAUACUACAAGCCAGAACUUUUUUUUCUUCCAGCAUAGCCAGUUGUUAAACAUUUACAACAGAACGUUCAAUGGUUCCUUUUGAAUAUGCUCCACUAACAAUAACAGAAGUUGCCAAAGUAGCUAAAGAUAGCUAAACAGAAUUUUAUUCAAGUUAUUCACACGGAAGAUAUUCCAGUUGAACUGCUUGCAGUUGCUUAGAUGACACCAUGUUCUCCCAUUCCUUCAUAUCUUUUCCAUUGAUCUAAAUUCUACAUUAAUAAGUAGUUACACGCAGGUUCCUCUUCUGGACAAACGUUAUAUUCUGUGCUUGUUUCAAGACAUUGAGGCUGUUUCUCUUUCCCCACAAGAUAGUUCCUUGAGGCUGGGACUUUGUCUCUCAAAUUUAGUGUUCCUGAGCACUGCUCCUGGUAGAAAAUCAAUGCAUUUUUGUGUUGAAAGAAUGAAAUAACUUAAUGAUUUACAUCAUUAUCUUACCUUCAGCAAUAGUUCUCAAAUAUUUGGCUUCAGAAGCUCUUUACAUUGUUAAAAAUUAUUGCAUAUCCUUAAGAGCUUUUGCUUAUGCAGGCUAUAUCUAUUGAUAUCUACUGAAUUCAAAAUUAAAACUGAAGGAACAGGCAUUUGGCUUAGUGGUUGUGUCCCAUAUCAGAGUGCCUGGGUUCUGUUCCUAGCUCUGGCUCUUGAUUCCAGCUUCCUGUAUACAUACAUAUACCCUGUAUAAAUACAGACCUGGGAGAUAGUAGGUAAUGGUCUGAGUGACUGGGUUCCUGCAACCCAACUAGGAGAUCUGGUCUGUGAUCCUGGCUCCUGGCUCUAGUCCUGGCCAUUGUAGGCAUUUGGGGAAUGAACCAGAAGAUGGGAGCUCUUAGGGUCUUGUGGCUAAGAGAUUUUGUGCUCCUGCUAGCAUUAUGAAAAAGUAAAGUAAAAUAUUAUGGAAAAGUAACAUCUGUGUGUCUAUCUGUCUCUCUCUGCCUCUCAAAUAAAAAUAAUUUUAAUAAAAAAAAACACUAAGAUGGAGAAAAUUUUAAAACACAAGAAUACAUAAGCACAUGUUCAACUUGCCAAGAGGGCAAUGAUGCAUCUCACAUCAUGUGUCCUCUAGAAAACUCCAGUGAACACUCAUGAGAGAAUGAGAAUGAAAAGCAAAAUAAUGUUUCAGUAUUGUUAUGAAAAUAGCCGUAAUCCU